This 292-nucleotide ribosomal RNA is filed under the name uncultured microorganism. Its description in RNAcentral is "partial 16S ribosomal RNA". It matches the Rfam family "Bacterial small subunit ribosomal RNA", at positions 505 to 796 of the family's 1533-position model. The record is from RNAcentral.
GUGCCAGCAGCCGCGGUAAUACGUAGGUGGCAAGCGUUGUCCGGAAUUAUUGGGCGUAAAGCGCGCGCAGGCGGUUUCUUAAGUCUGAUGUGAAAGCCCACGGCUCAACCGUGGAGGGUCAUUGGAAACUGGGAGACUUGAGUGCAGAAGAGGAGAGUGGAAUUCCACGUGUAGCGGUGAAAUGCGUAGAGAUGUAGAGGAACACCAGUGGGCGAAGGCGACUCUCUGGUCUGUAACUGACGCUGAGGCGCGAAAGCGUGGGGAGCAACAGGAUUAGAUACCCUGGUAGUCC